This 414-nucleotide long non-coding RNA is filed under the name Carica papaya (papaya). Its description in RNAcentral is "long non-coding RNA (CPAP_LNC009573)". Lineage: Eukaryota; Viridiplantae; Streptophyta; Magnoliopsida; Brassicales; Caricaceae. The record is from RNAcentral.
GUUAGGAAGACAAGGAAGAUAAACGGUAAAAUAAAAUAAUAAACUUUUAAAAUCUUACAAUGUUAAUUUAAUAAUGUUUUCCUUACUAAGCAUAUGGAACUCACUCUUUUCAUAUCCCCCUCCUAGAUGAGGAAGAAAAUUAGGAACCGCAAGCAAACCUACCCCUGGAAGUCUAUGAGGAUCUUGUGGAUCCAUGAGUCUAGGUACAUGACUUUUUCCGCACUCUGAUGAAUUUCAGUAACAUAGUGAAAGAAAUUGCCCUUAUGUUUUAUAUUUUGUAACCACUUCUGCCCUCAGUGAUGUAUGUAUUUGGAACACAUUAUAUAUAUAUAUAUAUUUGCAAAAGAUUUGUUAAGGUUUGAUUUUGCUACAUAAAUAUUAUCAUGCACUUGUUAUUUUGAAUCUGUAUCUGAC